GACUGGAUUGCUCUGCUGACCUCAAUCAAAAGGCAAUUACCCAGUGAGGGUGGAAGGUCUGCUCUUUACAUUUCCAUGAAGGCCUUGAACUAAACUAUGCCUGCCUCUAUUUUACUAAAAUUAAACUAUAAUUACAUUUAUUAAGGCAUGAAGGAAUGACUCUCCAAAAAGACAAAUCCUGGAAAACUACCAUCAGGGUAAAGCAACAACAUUCAAGAUCUGUCAUCUAUCCAGAGAAUGAGAUGAUGGAAUUUUCAAUGAAUUUAAUGAUAAAGAAAGUUAACAGUGCCGGAAGCUGAAUGAUUUAGAAGUCCUGCUUUUAAUAUAAAGAACAACUACAGAAGGGGGUAAAGUAUAGAUCUUCAGCAGAAACAGCACAAGAACUAUUCCAGAGUUUGUGUGUCACCAGCUCAUCAUAUCUUAAGUCUCUUUUGACAUGAC
Molecule: long non-coding RNA, 441 nt
Organism: Tachyglossus aculeatus (Australian echidna)
Lineage: Eukaryota; Metazoa; Chordata; Mammalia; Monotremata; Tachyglossidae
Exons: 3
Source: RefSeq, a predicted model, not a curated record